Molecule: ribosomal RNA, 429 nt
Filed under: uncultured Thermostilla sp.
Lineage: Bacteria; Pseudomonadati; Planctomycetota; Planctomycetia; Pirellulales; Thermoguttaceae
Description: bacterial SSU rRNA
Rfam family: Bacterial small subunit ribosomal RNA
Source: RNAcentral
UCGAGAAUCUUCGGCAAUGGGCGCAAGCCUGACCGAGCGACGCCGCGUGUGGGAUGAAGGCCUUCGGGUUGUAAACCACUGUUAGAGGGGAUGAAAUGCAGGUGGGUUCUCCCAUCUGUUUGACAUAGCCUCAGAGGAAGGACGGGCUAAGUUCGUGCCAGCAGCCGCGGUAAGACGAACCGUCCAAACGUUAUUCGGAAUCACUGGGCUUAAAGGGUGCGUAGGCGGCGCGGCAAGUUGGGUGUGAAAUACCUCGGCUCAACCGAGGAACUGCGCCCAAAACUGCCGUGCUCGAGGAAGAUAGAGGUGAGCGGAACUUAGGGUGGAGCGGUGAAAUGCGUUGAUAUCCUAAGGAACACCGGUGGCGAAAGCGGCUCACUGGAUCUUUUCUGACGCUGAGGCACGAAAGCUAGGGUAGCGAACGGGAUU